Molecule: ribosomal RNA, 418 nt
Filed under: Staphylococcus aureus
Lineage: Bacteria; Bacillati; Bacillota; Bacilli; Caryophanales; Staphylococcaceae
Description: partial 23S ribosomal RNA
Rfam family: Bacterial large subunit ribosomal RNA
Source: RNAcentral
AGCGAAACGGGAAGAGCCCAAACCAACAAGCUUGCUUGUUGGGGUUGUAGGACACUCUAUACGGAGUUACAAAGGACGACAUUAGACGAAUCAUCUGGAAAGAUGAAUCAAAGAAGGUAAUAAUCCUGUAGUCGAAAAUGUUGUCUCUCUUGAGUGGAUCCUGAGUACGACGGAGCACGUGAAAUUCCGUCGGAAUCUGGGAGGACCAUCUCCUAAGGCUAAAUACUCUCUAGUGACCGAUAGUGAACCAGUACCGUGAGGGAAAGGUGAAAAGCACCCCGGAAGGGGAGUGAAAUAGAACCUGAAACCGUGUGCUUACAAGUAGUCAGAGCCCGUUAAUGGGUGAUGGCGUGCCUUUUGUAGAAUGAACCGGCGAGUUACGAUUUGAUGCAAGGUUAAGCAGUAAAUGUGGAGCCGU